UCCGUUUUGUCAACGGCAGUCCUGCCAGAGUGCUCUUGCGUAGCAACUAACAGUAAGGGUUGCGCUCGUUGCGGGACUUAACCCAACAUCUCACGACACGAGCUGACGACAACCAUGCACCACCUGUCUCUGAGUUCCUCCGAAGAGGCACAACCGGCAUUACCCAGUCUUCUCAGGAUGUCAAUCCUUGGUAAGGUUCUUCGCGUUGCGUCGAAUUAAACCACAUACUCCACUGCUUGUGCGGGCUCCCGUCAAUUCCUUUGAGUUUCAACCUUGCGGCCGUACUCCCCAGGUGGAACACUUAUUGCGUUAGCUGCGGCACGGAAGAUAACUCCCCCACACCUAGUGUUCAUCGUUUAGGGCGUGGACUAC
Molecule: unclassified non-coding RNA, 372 nt
Filed under: uncultured Oscillospiraceae bacterium
Lineage: Bacteria; Bacillati; Bacillota; Clostridia; Eubacteriales; Oscillospiraceae
Description: contains 16S-23S intergenic spacer region
Source: RNAcentral